GUCUCAGUGCAAGCCGUAUUAAGGCGAU
RNAcentral lists this small RNA (28 nucleotides) under Bombyx mori (domestic silkworm). RNAcentral describes it as "ovarian small RNA-17807". Lineage: Eukaryota; Metazoa; Arthropoda; Insecta; Lepidoptera; Bombycidae. The record is from RNAcentral.